UCUGGCAAACCCUAACGCGUGAGUACCACGGAGAAGGGCGGCGGCCGCCCCGCGCGCAUCCAAGCAGCCGAGGCCGGCGGCGCGGUUCGAGGCUCGCUUCUGCUCCGACGGCCCCUCCUCCACGAAGCGCGCGCGCGCCCGUUCCGGACCCUCUUCGCGGCGGACGCGCACCACCUGUUCGACCGUUGGCCGGACCAGCCCGCUCCGACGCCAGAGCGCGCUCUAGACGGCCGCGCGCGGGUACCCUCGUCAACCCCCAUAGUAAGACACGCAGAAGCAGGGAGCCAAUCCUCUGGUUGAAUUUGUCCAUAGCAUCAGCCAUCCUGCCAUUCAAAUGCAUUUUUGCACGAUGGGGAAGAUGGCUGGUGCUAUGGAUAAAUUCAACCCGAUGGUUGAGCAUGCCCGACUGGAAGAAGAAGCCUUGCUUGGAGUUGAGUGAGCCGGCAAAUCAGUUUGAAACAGGGAGCCAGUUAAUCCGGUUUAAUUUGUCCAUAGCAUCAGCGAUCCCGCCAUUCUGUGGUCAAUGCUGCCCUAUGGCACGAUGCGGGAUAGCUGGUGCUUUGGAUAAAUGCUGGUGCUUUGGAUAAAUUCAACCCGAUGGCUGUGCAUGCCCGAAUGAAAGAAGAAGCCUUGCUUAAAGUUAAGUGAGCCGACAGUCAGUUUGAAGCAGGGAGUCAGCUCAUCUCUGUCACCUGGUUGAUUUUCCUAUAUCGUCAUACAACCUGUCAACAGAAUUUUGCAGAGUGGGUAGGUUGGAUGUUGCUGUGGACGCAUUCCAUUGGGUGACUCUUAUCCGACAGCCUGACUACCACAGGACGUAUUUCCCUUUUAGUUGCCUGAUUCAUGGUUAUUGUACUCACGCUGACUCUACUUUUAAUCUGCCUUACUCUAACUGAAUAUCCUGUUAUCUAGAAAAAGAUAGUUGAAAUCUAGACCUAGAUAACUCUUCCUUGUUUUAGCAGUUUGAAGCAGCAUACAUGGUAUCAUGGUCCCAAGGACCAAGAUCUAGACAGUGCAAAGGUGAUGAAGAGGAGUCUUCUAUUGGAUUGAACGAGAAAUGUAACUGUUUUCACGUGAUUCAAGACAUCCAGGGUGUUUGUACCGUGUCCUGCAAAUGGUUCAUAUGUAUUUGGUUGUCCUUCAGGUUUAGUUUGCUGUGGCAAAUUCUGCUACUCCUUCCGUAAAAAAAUAUAAGAGCGUUUAAGAUUACUAAAGUAGUGAUCUAAACGCUCUUAUAUUUCUUUACAGAGGGAGUAGAAUUUGGUACAGUGAACUAUGGUCAUCUAUGUCUUUUAGUUUUGCAAGUGUGCUAGAAGGUUAGAAAGCUCGUUCAUGUAUGAAAUUUGUACGGUUCUAAACUUAAAAAUUCAGGGGCAUUUUCACCCACAGUAUUGUUGUGGUCAUAAUAGCACAUCUCAAAAUUAUUGAGGGCCGGUUCUACAAUAUUAUUUUGAAAUACAAAAAGCUUGCAGCAGAUAUCCUCUUUUGGAAUUAUAAGUGCAAUUCUGAAUGGUGUUUUUGAGUCCCCUCUGUUUCUCCUGGGCAUUAAUCUAUGCACAACAACCUCUUCUCUGCUGGAUGACAAACAAAGUUCGCAUCUCAGAUAUUUGCUAGAUUUGCAUGAGCCAUUUUGCUGUCAGCUAAAUCGUUCAAGUGAGCUGUAAGAUCAUGUUUCCGAAAUUUGGUGCAUUUUAACCUUUAUGCAUGUUUGGCAUGAAAAGGAGCUUGACAUUCAUCCUUUUCAGUUUUUAGGGGUGGUCUUCUAAAUUAGCACAGAAAAGGAACAAUAUAUUUUUUAUCACUCACCCGUUAUCAUAAUUUUGUUGAAGGAUGUAUCCGGAAGAGGCUAUGCUUGUCAGUUGAACAAUUUCAUAUAGUAUAUAUGUUAACUUCCGUGAAUUGACUUCUUAUAUUCCAAUUCAUGGGCGCAGCAGGGACUACCAUUGCGCCAUCGUUUUUGCUGGAGCAUCCAUCCGUGAAACAUCCGUUGAAAGGCAUCUUCAACCAGCUAACUGUUGAAUCCCCGUCCUCCAUCCAUGGACAUUACCAAGGGCAGGCUUCAUUUGCUACUUGCUUGAAUUUUCUACCAAAGGCAGGCUUCAUUUGCUACAGGCUUCAUCCAUGGACAUUACUAAGGCCAGGCUUCACUACCAAGGGAUGUUGUGCCCCUAUGCUGUAUGCUUUGAUGGAUCUUUUCACUACAUAGUUCGGACCUCUGUUCGAUGUGUAUGCUACUCUGCCAUUUAUUUGGUUUUAUUUAUAAAGUCGGGUUUCGGCCUUUCUCUCCAGAAGAGAAGUGGAAAACAAA
Non-coding RNA from Triticum urartu, 2308 nucleotides. The record is from RefSeq and is a predicted model, not a curated record. Lineage: Eukaryota; Viridiplantae; Streptophyta; Magnoliopsida; Poales; Poaceae.